CGAGCGUCAUUACACCCCUCAAGUUAAACCUUUUGGUUAGCUUGGUGUUGGGCCUUGCCGGAAGGCAUGCCUAAAAAUCAGCGAUGGUACGUUAAACCACGGACGCACAACUGUCGUUACGUAGGGGUCACGGCACCAGUUUAAAUGAUGAAUUUCUAAAUGUUGACCUCGGAUCAGGUAGGAAUACCCGCUGAACUUAA
This 200-nucleotide unclassified non-coding RNA is filed under the name soil metagenome. RNAcentral's name for it is "partial contains internal transcribed spacer 2 and large subunit ribosomal RNA". The record is from RNAcentral.